UGGAUCAUGUUGUUUAACUCGAUGAUACGCGAAGAACCUUACCAGGUCUUGACAUCCCUUGCAAAGCUAUGGAGACAUAGUGGAGGUUAUCAAGGAGACAGGUGGUGCAUGGUUGUCGUCAGCUCGUGCCGUGAGGUGUUGGGUUAAGUCCCGCAACGAGCGCAACCCUCAUUGUUAGUUACUACCAUUCAGUUGAGGACUCUAAUGAGACUGCCAACGACAAGUUGGAGGAAGUGGGGAUGACGUCAAAUCAUCAUGCCCUUUAUGACCUGGGCUACAAACGUACUACAAUGGCCAAUACAAAGAGAUGCGAAGCGGUGACGUGGAGCGAACCUCAGAAAGUUGGUCUCAGUUCAGAUUGAAGUCUGCAACUCGACUUCAUGAAGGCGGAAUCGCUAGUAAUCGCGGGUCAGCAGACCGCGGUGAAUACGUUCCCGGGCCUU
RNAcentral lists this ribosomal RNA (443 nucleotides) under uncultured Mollicutes bacterium. RNAcentral describes it as "bacterial SSU rRNA". It matches the Rfam family "Bacterial small subunit ribosomal RNA", at positions 933 to 1382 of the family's 1533-position model. Lineage: Bacteria; Bacillati; Mycoplasmatota; Mollicutes. The record is from RNAcentral.